AUUAAGGUGUCUGAUUUAGGUGGUAAAUUGUAAAUUUACUUAAGAAUUUUAAUUCUCUUAAUA
This 63-nucleotide transfer RNA is filed under the name Batracomorphus matsumurai. Its description in RNAcentral is "tRNA-Tyr". The record is from RNAcentral. Lineage: Eukaryota; Metazoa; Arthropoda; Insecta; Hemiptera; Cicadellidae.